RNAcentral lists this ribosomal RNA (253 nucleotides) under uncultured bacterium. Its description in RNAcentral is "partial 16S ribosomal RNA". It matches the Rfam family "Bacterial small subunit ribosomal RNA", at positions 524 to 776 of the family's 1533-position model. The record is from RNAcentral.
UACGUAGGGGGCAAGCGUUGUCCGGAAUCAUUGGGCGUAAAGAGCGCGUAGGCGGUCCGGUAAGUCCGCUGUGAAAGUCAAGGGCUCAACCCUUGAAUGCCGGUGGAUACUGUCGGGCUAGAGUCCGGAAGAGGCGAGUGGAAUUCCCGGUGUAGCGGUGAAAUGCGCAGAUAUCGGGAGGAACACCAAUGGCGAAGGCAGCUCGCUGGGACGGUACUGACGCUGAGGCGCGAAAGCGUGGGGAGCAAACAGG